GCCGGCCAGAGGGUACCCCAGCCGCCACAGUGGUGACGUUCCCGCUGCAACUGCUUCCCACGCUGGUGCCCGACUCGCAGCGCGCCUGGAUCUUCGUCGUUGGCGACCUGCUCGCGCCGUCCUCCGCGAAUUUGGAACGCUUGGUGCGAGUCCCCACUGGAUGCGGAGAGCAGAACAUGAUCGGCUUUGUUCCCAACAUCUUCGUCCGGCGUUACCUUGAGCAAGUCAAGCUGAUCACAGAUGCUCUUCGGAUAAGAACUACGAAUAACAUGAGGACCGGCUAUCAGCGCGAACUGCGCUUCCGGC
This is a long non-coding RNA of Pollicipes pollicipes, 306 nucleotides long. RefSeq lists it as uncharacterized. The transcript has 3 exons. NCBI's taxonomy places the organism in Eukaryota, Metazoa, Arthropoda, Thecostraca, Pollicipedomorpha, Pollicipedidae. The record is from RefSeq and is a predicted model, not a curated record.